Molecule: ribosomal RNA, 444 nt
Filed under: uncultured bacterium
Lineage: Bacteria
Description: SSU rRNA
Rfam family: Bacterial small subunit ribosomal RNA
Source: RNAcentral
AGAACGAACGCUGGCGGCAGGCCUAACACAUGCAAGUCGAACGCCGUAGCAAUACGGAGUGGCAGACGGGUGCGUAACACGUGGGAACAUACCCUUUGGUUCGGAACAACUCAGGGAAACUUGAGCUAAUACCGGAUAAGCGCGAGAGCGGAAAGAUUUAUCGCCGAAGGAUUGGCCCGCGUCUGAUUAGCUUGUUGGUGAGGUAACGGCUCACCAAGGCGACGAUCAGUAGCUGGUCUGAGAGGAUGAUCAGCCACACUGGGACUGAGACACGGCCCAGACUCCUACGGGAGGCAGCAGUGGGGAAUAUUGGACAAUGGGCGAAAGCCUGAUCCAGCCAUGCCGCGUGAGUGAUGAAGGCCUUAGGGUUGUAAAGCUCUUUUACCCGGGAAGAUAAUGACGGUACCGGAGAAUAAGCCCGGCUAACUUCGCGCCAGCAGCCGC